UUGAUCCUGGCUCAGAAUCAACGCUGGCGGCGUGCCUAACACAUGCAAGUCGAACGCGAAAGCCCCGCAAGGGGCAAGUAGAGUGGCAAACGGGUGAGUUACACGUGGGUGACCUGCCUUCGAGUGGGGGAUAACAUCCCGAAAGGGAUUCUAAUACCGCAUGACAUCCUGCCUUUGAACAGGCGGAGAUCAAAGCUGGUGAUCGCAAGACCUGGCGCUCAAAGAGGGGCCCGCGCCUGAUUAGCUAGUUGGUGGGGUAAUGGCUCACCAAGGCAUCGAUCAGUAUCCGGCCUGAGAGGUCGGACGGACACACUAGGACUGAGACACGGCCCAGACUCCUACGGGAGGCUGCAGUGGGGAAUUGUUCGCAAUGGGCGCAAGCCUGACGACGCAACGCCGUGUGGAGGAUGAAGACCUUCGGGUCGUAAACUCCUUUCGAUCGAGACGAAUGGCCCCUGGGUUAAUAGCCUAGGGGAAUGACGGUACCGAGAGAAGAAGCUCCGGCUAACUCCGUGCCAGCAGCCGCGGUAAUAAGGU
Molecule: ribosomal RNA, 537 nt
Filed under: uncultured Acidobacteriota bacterium
Lineage: Bacteria; Pseudomonadati; Acidobacteriota
Description: bacterial SSU rRNA
Rfam family: Bacterial small subunit ribosomal RNA
Source: RNAcentral